This 5016-nucleotide small RNA is filed under the name Caenorhabditis elegans. RNAcentral's name for it is "Unclassified non-coding RNA Y39A3CL.16". The record is from RNAcentral. Lineage: Eukaryota; Metazoa; Nematoda; Chromadorea; Rhabditida; Rhabditidae.
GAUUACACUCGUAUAUCCCUCCCACCACAGUCUCCAACAUUCGUCGGCUUCAAUACUUUACAGCAGGCGGUUUUUCCGAUGAAUUGUGACGGAAAACCGAUUCUUCCCAAAGAUGAUAAGGGAAAAACUGUCAGUUUUGUCGAAAAAUUGAAAAGUUUCACCCUAAAAAUCUCAAAAUUUCCCCCCGAAAAGGUCCAAAUUCAACCUAAAAUCUCAAAUUUUCACGGAAAAUUUCCCAAUUUCCCUCUAAAAACCACAUUUUUUCACUGAAAACCCAGAAAAUUUCCCCUAAAAAUAGGAAUUUUUCACUAAAAACUCGCAAUUUUCUCAGAAAAAAGCAAAUUUUAACCUGAAAAUAUUAAAAUUUACCCCCCUAAAAGUCGAAUUUUUCACUGAAAAAGUGUAAAUUUUUCCCUAAAAAUCUAGGGUUUCAGCUGAAAAAUUUGUGUAAAAAAAUUUAAUUUUACCGAAAAAUUGACCUUAAAAUCUGAAAUUCCAAUUUUUUUAAUCUAAAAAACCCAAAUUUUCACUGAAAAAAUUGAAAUUUCCCCCUGAAAAUUACAGUUUUCAAGUUUAAAAUUAAAUAAAAAAGCCUAAAAUUCCCAAUUUUUGAGUUAAAAAUUUUGAAAUUUAUAAAUUUAUCUAAAAAAUUUAAAUUUUCAUUAAAAAAUACCAAAUUUUUACCACCUGAAAAAGCUGAAAACUUCCCUCAAAAUGGUCCAAAUUCAACCUAAAAUCUCAAAUUUCUCACCUACAAAACUCAAAAAUUUACCACAAAUUCUCAAAUUUCCCCCUAAAACCACAAUUUUUCUGUAAAAAAAAAAGAAAUUUUCACCAUCAAAAAAAUUUUGAAAUUAACCUAAAAAACUCGCAUUUUUUCAUUGAAAAUGUCGAUUUUUCACCUAAAAACUCCAAAUUUUCCGCCUAAAAAGCUCAAUUUUCCACCAAAAAUACCGAAUUUUUCCCAUUAAAAUGUAGAUUUUUCACCGAAAAAGCUAAAAACUUCCCCCUCACGGUCUCCUCGGGUGGAAAUUGCGAUAGGGCGCGCUUGCUGCACCUUCAUUGCGUCCAUCGAUAUUUCACCAUUGAUAAGUGAUUUCCCUCGUUUUUUAUUAGUUUUUCGCCGAUUUUUCUAUUUCAAAAUUAGUAACAAUUAUAAAGUAGACUGAAACAAAAGUGGAGAAACAAAAAUUAUCGGAAACCGUUCGGUGGAAAUGCAUAACGAACUGUUUGAAAAUAUCAACUGAAUUUUCGGAUUUUUUGAAAUUAAUAUUUUAUUUAAGUUUUUCUCAUAACCUGCAAUAAUAACGUUUAUAGAGCAAACUUUUGUCGUCAUUUUAAGAUAUAAUUCGUCUAUAUACCUGUUGAAAGAACUCAGAUCGAACUCUUUUUGUGAAAUCCAGUUAUAAUUUUUCGUUAAAAAGAGGAGCUAAAAGUUAUUAAUCUGAAUUAAACGAGUCGAGACAGUGAAUCUAGUUAAUAUUUGGUAUUUUAUUGAAGCAAUACACGUAUAAAACAUUUUAUAAUGGGUUUUUCGGCUCCAAUUUUGUUGGCACAUACUAUUGUACGUUUGGGCUCAAAUAAGCCAUACAAAGUGCUGAACUAUGAAGAAUAAUGUUUCAACAUUACAUUACUUACAAAAAAUCAGGUUGAAAGCAAUAUUUACAGUCUUUCUUGGCUCUAUUCAACAUAACUUAGUAUUACCAUCUUAUUCUGUGCCUCAACUUAAUCGUUACAAGUUUGAAUUCUUGAGGAGACUGUAUUUAAAACCUAUUACGGCCUUUCAAAACUCAAAUUUAUAAAAACGGUAUCUUCUUAAGCUUUCGUUUUUAGUUUCCAAUACUUUCCUUUCAGUAAGGCUUGAAAUUUUUGGAAGCUUCACUGCAAGUUUCCCACUUCACGAUUUUCCAAUUUCAACUUGUUAAAACUGGCAAGAUCACAGAAAAAGCCACACUUCCAUGAUAAAACCACAGAAAAUUAAAGAAAUUGGGCUGAAUGUCUCACAUUUGGUGAUUCUGGCACAUGAUCAUUUCUCAAAACUUCAAUUCAAAGAUAAAAUUGUUUGUGGCCAAACCUUCAUUUCUUAUUUGACUUUCAGGCUAUAUAUUUAAUAAUAUUUCUUAAUUGUCUUCAAAUUUUUUGAGAUUUCCCCACUUUAUGUAGUGAAAACAAAGAUAAACUUCUUAUUUUCUCAAUUUUUCAAUUAAUUUAACCUUUUGCAGCAAGGUAUUCUCUUUUUAACUGAGAAAACUAUUUCAAAAACUCAUUUCAUCUUCUUUCCUUUGUUUUCUCAAGAAAAAUUCAUAAAGAAAUGCAUUUUUUCCGCAAAAAUAAUUCAAUAUUCAGAAGUGCGCCAGCACGCGAAAGGCGCAUCGGUGAAACGCGCAAGCAAUCUCCCUCCCCCUUCGUUUCCACCCGAGGAGACCGUGCCCCUAAAAAUCGCAAAUUUUCACCAAAAAAUCUCAAAUUUUCAUGGAAAAUACCAAACUUUCCACCUAAAAAGCUCAAUUUUUCACCAAAAAAAUUUUGAAAUUAACCUAAAAAUUUCAAAUUUCCCUCUAAAAAUCGCAUUUUUUCAUUGAAAAUGUCGAUUUUUCACCUAAAAACUCCAAAUUUUCCGCCUAAAAAGCUCAAUUUUCUACCAAAAAUACCGAAUUUUUCCCUUAAAAAUGUCGAUUUUUCACCGAAAAAUCUCAAAUUUCCCCCUAAAAAUCGCCUAUUUUAACCAAAAAAAAACUCGCAUUUUCCUAAAUUUCACUGAAAAACCAAAAUUUUUCUGUAAAAAACUCAAAUUUUCACCGGAAAAAAUCUCAAAAAUCAUCUAAAUUCUCAAUUUUUUCCUAAAAUGCUUAAUUUACACCGAAAAUUUAAAAUUUCCUUUGAAAAGUACCAUUUUUCUGUAAAAAACUCAAAUUUUCACCGGAAAAAAUCUCAAAAAUCGUCAUUUUUUUUCCCAAAAUUUCCCCAUAAACAUCUGAAAAAUCGCAAUUUUUCACCAAAAAUCAAGAUUCUAUGCUGAAAAACACAAAUUUCUAUUUAAAAAUCACGAUUUUCAAGUUAAUUGACCUCAAAAUCUCAAAUUUUCCUUCUAAAAAGUCGCGAAAUUCACUUUAAAAUAUUAAAAUUUACCUAAAAUCCAAUUUUUAAGUAAUUUUUCAUUGAAAAAACUCAAUUUUCACUGAAAAUUCCCAAAUUUUCACCUAAAAAAUCACCAUUUUCUUCUUUCAGAUUUUCCCAUUCUACGACGGUUAUCCAUUAUUUCCAGUUGACGAUUCAGGUGCAAUUUGUGUACCACUUGGAGACGACGAAAAACCCGUUUUUCCACGAAUUCCAGAAGAAUUUGGAGCUUAUGUGCCGUGUGACAUAAAUGGUACUUGAAAAUUGCGAUUUUUCGCCCAUUUUUUCCCACUAAAAACUCGUUUUUUAAGCCAUUUUCUCGAUUUUUUGAAAGAGCCGCGACGUGCAUCCCCCGACGUUUUUGAUGGUUUUUCGGCGGUUUUUGUUUUGAAAAUUUAUCGAUUUUUCACGGGAAAAAUGUGAAUUUUUUAGGUCGAGUUGUACUGCCGCUCAAUGAGCUCGGAGAGCCUAUAUAUCCACGUGAUGAGCUUGGAAAUGUACUUAUGCCUUUUAUUAUUUUGGAUGAUGGAACACGAAGACGAGCGGUUUUUUGUGCGGAAGAUGGUACGGAUAUUCGCGUCGGAAUUUAUUGGAGAAAAUUGGAGAAAUUUGAGAUUUUUUAGCGAAAAUCUGCGAAAUUUCCGAUUAAAACUGUGAAAUUUGAAGAAAAUUGGCCGAAUUUCACCUAAAAACCCGCUAAUUUGCCAGAAAAUUGGUGAAAAUUGGCAAAUUUGAAUUUUUUUUGUUGAAUUUCCCGCCAUAAAAUAUUCAAAAAUCCAAAUUUUUGAAUUUCCCGCCAUAAAAUAUUCAAAAAUCCAAAUUUUUGAAUUUCCCGCCAAAAAACAUUCGAAAAUUUGAAUUUUUUGAAUUUCCCGCCAAAAAAUAUUUAAAAAUUUGAAUUUUUUAAAUUUCCCGCCUAUUUUAACGCAAUAUCCAAUGUUUGCGUACUUUUCAAGCUACAGUACCCUCCGGAUUUUUUUGGCGGGAAAUUCAAAAAAUUCAAAUUCUCGAAUAUUUUUUUGGCGCGAAAUUCAAAAAAUUUUAAUUUUUGAAUAUUUUUUGGCGCAAAAUUCAAAAAAUUUUAAUUUUUGAAUUUUUUUGGCGCGAAAUUUAAAAAAUUCAAAUUUUCGAAUAUUUUUUGGCGCGAAAUUCAAAAAUUCAAAUUUUCAAAUAUUUUUGGCGGGAAAUUCAAAAAAUUCAAAUUUUCGAAUAUUAUUUGGCGCGAAAUUCAAAAAUUCAAAUUUUCAAAUAUUUUUGGCGGGAAAUUCAAAAAAUUCAAAUUUUCGAAUAUUUUUUGGCGCGAAAUUCAAAAAUUCAAAUUUUCAAAUAUUUUUGGCGGGAAAUUCAAAAAAUUCAAAUUUUCGAAUAUUUUUGGCGGGAAAUUCAAAAAUUCAAAUUUUCAAAUAUUUUUGGCGGGAAAUUCAAAAAUUCAAAUUUUCGAAUAUUUUUGGAAUUUUCAGGUACCCCAAUUCUACCAUUUCACAAUGGAGAACACGCUCUUGAAGUUCACGAAGGAGAAGUAUUAUUUCAAUACGAAUAUCAACAAAAAAUGAUGCAUUUGGCCCAAUUUUCGGACAAAAAAACGGCCCAAAAGCCCCAGGAAUUGAUGGAUGAACAAUUUUAUCAGCAACAUUAUCAAUCUUAUCAACAAUCGACAAUUUCCACCGCAAAUUCUACAGAAAUUCCGUCGAAAAUCGGCCAAAAUUCUGCGAAAAACCCGGCAAAAUCGACGAAUUUACUGCUAAAACAGCUAACUUUUAUGAAAAAGAAGCAAGAAGCUCCGUCGCCGAGCUCAAGUCCACUUUCUGCAGCAAUUCCGGCUGAACGGCCUGCUAAACCGAAUAAGGAGAAGGAACGGGGCGAUCGGUUCUUGCCAGAGCCUUCAAGGCGUUUUAAUAG